CCCCAUGGAGAGAUGGCUCAGUGGUUAAGAGAGUCCUGCUUUUCUCUAACUGCAUGCCAGAGUAACUGGAGAGACUUUGACUACCCAGGCCAGCACAGUGCCUACAGCUGCCACUCGACUUUCCUAUACAU
This is a small nucleolar RNA of Arvicola amphibius (Eurasian water vole), 131 nucleotides long. RefSeq annotates it as small nucleolar RNA SNORA44. NCBI's taxonomy places the organism in Eukaryota, Metazoa, Chordata, Mammalia, Rodentia, Cricetidae. The transcript has a single exon. The record is from RefSeq and is a predicted model, not a curated record.